UGGGGAAUAUUGCACAAUGGAGGGAACUCUGAUGCAGCGACGCCGCGUGAACGAAGAAGGCUUUCGAGUCGUAAAGUUCUUUUAUAUGGGAAGAUAAUGAAGGUACCAUAAGAAGAAGCCCCGGCUAACUACGUGCAAGCAGCCGCGGUAAUACGUAGGGGGCUAGCGUUGUCCGGAAUCACUGGGCGUAAAGGGUUCGCAGGCGGAAAUGCAAGUCAGGUGUAAAAGGCAGUAGCUUAACUACUGUAAGCAUUUGAAACUGCAUAUCUUGAGAAGAGUAGAGGUAAGUGGAAUUUUUAGUGUAGCGGUGAAAUGCGUAGAUAUUAUAAAGAAUACCGGUGGCGAAGGCGACUUACUGGGCUCAUUCUGACGCUGAGGAACGAAAGCGUGGGUAGCAAACAGG
RNAcentral lists this ribosomal RNA (403 nucleotides) under bacterium. RNAcentral's name for it is "partial 16S ribosomal RNA". It matches the Rfam family "Bacterial small subunit ribosomal RNA", at positions 355 to 776 of the family's 1533-position model. The record is from RNAcentral.